Molecule: long non-coding RNA, 1210 nt
Organism: Biomphalaria glabrata
Lineage: Eukaryota; Metazoa; Mollusca; Gastropoda; Planorbidae
Exons: 3
Source: RefSeq, a predicted model, not a curated record
AUAUAUAAGCCUGUGAAGUGAAACAAGUUAAAAAUAAAUGUACUGUGGGUUCUGAUCUAUAUUGUUAGCAAUGGAAAGUAUUUAAGCAACCUCAAAUAAAAAAAUGUAUUGUUGUAGACUCCUGCAGAUUUGUCUGAUUUCUACUUGCUUGAUCAUGUCAUGGAGUGUCAUCGGUACCCAGGCAGUUGGUUCAAUCUCUUCACUCUUUAAUAUUACCUCUACAGUAACGACAGCACCCUCUAUCUACGACAAGGAUUCCAUUACCCUGUUCUACAAGACCUUCGCACCACUGUUUGUCACCUUUUUCACCAGCGGCUCCAUCUCUCAGCAAUGUUUCGGAAUUCUCGGCGCAGCUGCUGAUCCGUGGCUGUAGGCGAUCUUUCCCGUUUUCUUUAGUCUGGUCGACUCCAACCAUGAUGGCGUACUGACCCCAGCAGACAUAUCCCCACUCGUGGUUCUAAUAGUGUUUCUUAAUUUUCUCAUUAUGGGUGCAGAUACAGGGAAUGACUAUUCUAUAUCUCUGGCCGAGUUCACGGCGUUUUUAAACGUGGCGCCGUUCCAGCCAAACGAUGUCUACAAGAAUGCUCUGCUGGUGAUGUUCUCAGCUCUGGAUCUUGACCAUGACCAGAAACUAAGCUUCUUGGACAUCGUUCCUGUCAACAUUUUAGGUUGAGAGGUCAGAGGUGAAAGUCCAAAUAAGUUUCAAUUCAUGUAUAAAUAUUUUUUUUCUGUUUAUUAAACAUGACUGUAAAUUAAUGUACUGUAAACUGUAAAUAUUGGGAGAAUAAAGAAGUCCUGGGUUCGAAUUUCGGUGAACGCUGGGAUUUUUAAUCUCGGGAUAUUUUUAGGGCGCCCCUGCGUCCAGCCAUCUCUAAAUGAGUACCUGACUUUAGUGAGGGAAAGUAAAGGCGGUUGGGCGUUUGGUCAUUGUACUGGCCUCAUGACGCUUGCAGCGAAUUCAGAACAAAUUGUCCUACGAAAAACAAGACGAGAUUCUGCUACGUCUCUCUUGGGCGACUCCAUUGACUUCCGGUGAAUGUAAGAAUCGACUACACGGUGACCGCACUUUGCCAUCAGUACAUCUACAGUAAAUGAAUGCCCAUGUACCUUAAUGCACUGAUCACCUAAUAUGCCCUAUCUGAGAGCCCUAGCUAUAUUUAUCUUACUAUAUUUUAAGCCUUUUAUUUUGCCUGAAAAUAAUUUUUGUUUG